Molecule: non-coding RNA, 92 nt
Organism: Mycena galericulata
Lineage: Eukaryota; Fungi; Basidiomycota; Agaricomycetes; Agaricales; Mycenaceae
Source: the annotation of a GenBank genome assembly
GGUCUGGUGGUGUAGUGGUAACACAUCUGCAAGAAAUUGAAUGGGUGCACUGGUGUCGGCAGGAGUCCCUUGUUCGAUUCAGGGUCGGGUCA